RNAcentral lists this ribosomal RNA (497 nucleotides) under uncultured bacterium. RNAcentral describes it as "partial 16S ribosomal RNA". It matches the Rfam family "Bacterial small subunit ribosomal RNA", at positions 28 to 507 of the family's 1533-position model. The record is from RNAcentral.
GACGAACGCUGGCGGCGUGCCCAAUACAUGCAAGUCGAACGCUGAAGAGAGGAGCUUGCUCUUCUUGGAUGAGUUGCGAACGGGUGAGUAACGCGUAGGUAACCUGCCUUGUAGCGGGGGAUAACUAUUGGAAACGAUAGCUAAUACCGCAUAACAAUGGAUGACACAUGUCAUUUAUUUGAAGGGGGCAAUUGCUCCACUACAAGAUGGACCUGCGUUGUAUUAGCUAGUAGGUGAGGUAAUGGCUCACCUAGGCGACGAUACAUAGCCGACCUGAGAGGGUGAUCGGCCACACUGGGACUGAGACACGGCCCAGACUCCUACGGGAGGCAGCAGUAGGGAAUCUUCGGCAAUGGGGGCAACCCUGACCGAGCAACGCCGCGUGAGUGAAGAAGGUUUUCGGAUCGUAAAGCUCUGUUGUAAGUCAAGAACGGGUGUGAGAGUGGAAAGUUCACACUGUGACGGUAGCUUACCAGAAAGGGACGGCUAACUACGUG